GCGGAGGUUGUUCGGUUUGUUUUAAUACCGGCUUGGCACGCCGGGGGUCGCGGGUUCGGGCCCCGUCCGCUGUGCCA
This 77-nucleotide transfer RNA is filed under the name Acinetobacter baumannii. RNAcentral describes it as "tRNA-Ala". The record is from RNAcentral. Lineage: Bacteria; Pseudomonadati; Pseudomonadota; Gammaproteobacteria; Moraxellales; Moraxellaceae.